This 253-nucleotide ribosomal RNA is filed under the name uncultured bacterium. RNAcentral describes it as "partial 16S ribosomal RNA". It matches the Rfam family "Bacterial small subunit ribosomal RNA", at positions 524 to 776 of the family's 1533-position model. The record is from RNAcentral.
UACGUAGGCAGCAAGCGUUGUUCGGAAUUACUGGGCGUAAAGAGCUCGUAGGCGGUUUGUCGCGUCUGCCGUGAAAGUCCGGGGCUCAACUCCGGAUCUGCGGUGGGUACGGGCAGACUAGAGUGAUGUAGGGGAGACUGGAAUUCCUGGUGUAGCGGUGAAAUGCGCAGAUAUCAGGAGGAACACCGAUGGCGAAGGCAGGUCUCUGGGCAUUAACUGACGCUGAGGAGCGAAAGCAUGGGGAGCGAACAGG